UACGGGGGGGGCAAGCGUUGUUCGGAAUUACUGGGCGUAAAGGGCUCGUAGGCGGCCAACUAAGUCGGACGUGAAAUCCCCGGGCUCAACCCGGGAACUGCGUCCGAUACUGGGAGGCUUGAAUCCGGGAGAGGGAUGUGGAAUUCCAGGUGUAGCGGUGAAAUGCGUAGAUAUCUGGAGGAACACCGGUGGCGAAAGCGGCAUCCUGGACCGGCAUUGACGCUGAGGCGCGAAAGCCAGGGGAGCAAACGGG
Molecule: ribosomal RNA, 253 nt
Filed under: uncultured bacterium
Lineage: Bacteria
Description: partial 16S ribosomal RNA
Rfam family: Bacterial small subunit ribosomal RNA
Source: RNAcentral